This 73-nucleotide transfer RNA is filed under the name Treponema sp. RNAcentral's name for it is "tRNA-Met". It matches the Rfam family "tRNA". From Rfam's summary of the family: Transfer RNA (tRNA) molecules are approximately 80 nucleotides in length. Their secondary structure includes four short double-helical elements and three loops (D, anti-codon, and T loops). Further hydrogen bonds mediate the characteristic L-shaped molecular structure. tRNAs have two regions of fundamental functional importance: the anti-codon, which is responsible for specific mRNA codon recognition, and the 3' end, to which the tRNAs corresponding amino acid is attached (by aminoacyl-tRNA synthetases). tRNAs cope with the degeneracy of the genetic code in two manners: having more than one tRNA (with a specific anti-codon) for a particular amino acid; and 'wobble' base-pairing, i.e. permitting non-standard base-pairing at the 3rd anti-codon position. The record is from RNAcentral. Lineage: Bacteria; Pseudomonadati; Spirochaetota; Spirochaetia; Treponematales; Treponemataceae.
CGUAUGGUAGAGCAGUUGGCAGCUCGUCGGGCUCAUAACCCGGAGGUCGUAGGUUCGAGUCCUACCCAUACAU